Molecule: long non-coding RNA, 331 nt
Organism: Cucurbita maxima (winter squash)
Lineage: Eukaryota; Viridiplantae; Streptophyta; Magnoliopsida; Cucurbitales; Cucurbitaceae
Exons: 2
Source: RefSeq, a predicted model, not a curated record
GCAUGAGAUAUUGAACUGUCUUCUUCACCUAAUGUGUCCAUGUAAUGGGUGGUGAGUUGGUUGCUGUGUCAAAGUCCCGUCUUGCCUUGAAGUUAAGUUUCCUCCCCUUCACUGUUCAACCGCCAAGGACCUCUCUUCUACUUCCUUUGCCAUCCCAACCAUCCAGGGUUUAUUUUUGUGAUUCCCAUAAAGAAUGGAAGGUGAAAAACGAAGACGAUGUUUGGCAUGAGAAGAGGUGGUGGGAAAAAGCUGAGAGAGUAUGUAUGCUUAGAAUGCAAGCAGCUGAUGCUUAAAAUGCAAGAACAACCCCAAAACAAUUUCAAAUCGUUAG